RNAcentral lists this ribosomal RNA (398 nucleotides) under uncultured bacterium. RNAcentral describes it as "partial 16S ribosomal RNA". It matches the Rfam family "Bacterial small subunit ribosomal RNA", at positions 523 to 918 of the family's 1533-position model. The record is from RNAcentral.
AUACGUAGGGUGCGAGCGUUGUCCGGAAUUACUGGGCGUAAAGAGCUCGUAGGGGGUUUGUCGCGUCGUCUGUGAAAUUCCGGGGCUUAACUCCGGGCGUGCAGGCGAUACGGGCAUAACUUGAGUACUGUAGGGGAGACUGGAAUUCCUGGUGUAGCGGUGCAAUGCGCAGAUAUCAGGAGGAACACCGGUGGCGAAGGCGGGUCUCUGGGCAGUAACUGACGCUGAGGAGCGAAAGCAUGGGUAGCGAACAGGAUUAGAUACCCUGGUAGUCCAUGCCGUAAACGGUGGGCGCUAGGUGUAGGGGUCUUCCACGACUUCUGUGCCGUAGCUAACGCAUUAAGCGCCCCGCCUGGGGAGUACGGCCGCAAGGCUAAAACUCAAAGGAAUUGACGGGG